GAACGUACGCUGGCGGCACGCCUAACACAUGCAAGUCGAACGAAGUAGCAAUACUUAGUGGCAGACGGGUGAGUAACAUGUAGGUAUCUACCCUUUGGCCUGGAAUAACACGAGGAAACUUGUGCUAAUACCGGAUAAGUCUUUACGGAGAAAGCUUUAUGCACCAUUGGAUGAGCCUGCACUUGAUUAGUUUGUUGGUGGGGUAAUGGCCUACCAAGACUGUGAUCAAUAGCUGAUUUGAGAGGAUGAUCAGCCACAUUGGGACUGAGACACGGCCCAAACUCCUACGGGAGGCAGCAGUGGGGAAUCUUGCACAAUGGAGGAAACUCUGAUGCAGCGAUGCCGCGUGAGUGAAGAAGGCCCUUGGGCUGUAAAGCUCUUUCGUCGGGGAAGAAAAUGACUGUACCCGAAUAAGAAGGUCCGGCUAACUUCGUGCCAGCAGCCGCGGUAAUACGAAGGGACCUAGCGUAGUUCGGAAUUACUGGGCUUAAAGAGUUCGUAGGUGGCUGAAAAAGUUAGUGGUGAAAUCCCAGAGCUUAACUCUGGAACUGCCAUUAAAACUUUUCAGCUAGAGUAUGAUAGAGGAAAGCAGAAUUUCUAGUGUAGAGGUGAAAUUCGUAGAUAUUAGAAAGAAUACCAAUUGCGAAGGCAGCUUUCUGGAUCAUUACUGACACUGAGGGAACGAAAGCAUGGGUAGCGAAGAGGAUUAGAUACCCUCGUAGUCCAUGCCGUAAACGAUGUGUGUUAGACGUUGGAAAUUUAUUUUCAGUGUCGCAGCGAAAGCGAUAAGCACACCGCCUGGGGAGUACGACCGCAAGGUUAAAACUCAAAUGAAUUGACGGGGACCCGCACAAGUAGUGGAGCAUGUGGUUUAAUUCGAAGAUACGCGCAGAACCUUACCAACACUUGACAUGUUCGUCGCGACUCUAAGAGAUUAGAGUUUUCGGUUCGGCCGGACGAAACACAGGUGCUGCAUGGCUGUCGUCAGCUCGUGUCGUGAGAUGUUGGGUUAAGUCCCGCAACGAGCGCAACCCUCACUUUUAGUUGCCAUCAUUAAGUUGGGCACUCUGAAAGAACUGCCAGUGAUAAGCUGGAGGAAGGUGGGGAUGACGUCAAGUCCUCAUGGCCCUUACGUGUUGGGCUACACACGUGCUACAAUGGUAUCUACAACAGGAAGCAAGACUGCGAGGUCAAGCAAAUCCUUAAAAGAUACCUCAGUUCGGAUUGCACUCUGCAACUCGAGUGCAUGAAGCUGGAAUUACUAGUAAUCGUGGAUCAGCGUGCCACGGUGAAUGCGUUCCCGGGUCUUGUACACACCGCCCGUCACACCAUGGGAGUUGGUUCUACCUUAAGGCAAGGUUUAAAACCCUUGACCACGGUAUAGUCAGCGACUGGGGU
This 1398-nucleotide ribosomal RNA is filed under the name uncultured bacterium. RNAcentral's name for it is "bacterial SSU rRNA". It matches the Rfam family "Bacterial small subunit ribosomal RNA". The record is from RNAcentral.